AUGAGAGUACAAAUUAAAUCCGGUCGGGAUCACUCCCCAAAAGGAUACCGCCCCUGCGAACAGUGCCGCCGGCGCAACGACAAAGCAUGUACGCAUGCCUGCCCGGCCACCCGUCGGCCGUGGCCUGCCUGGCAUCGCCGUGUCAGUGUCACACUCAGCCAGCGCCCCGAACCGUCGCCCCCGCCGCACACGUGCCGCACCAGAUGCCCACUCAACGGCAUCACGCCAGCAGCAUAUCCUGCCGUGCCGCCGGUAAAAACUAGACCCGAUCCGCAGAGCACGGUGAAUGUAGACACCCCGGCCGUCGCCGCACACACGUCGCGCAUGCACGGUCGGCGCCCCGGCCACGUGCCCGCGCGCCCGCGUCCCUCUCCGCCCCUUUAA
This 384-nucleotide ribosomal RNA is filed under the name Triticum aestivum (bread wheat). RNAcentral describes it as "partial small subunit ribosomal RNA". The record is from RNAcentral. Lineage: Eukaryota; Viridiplantae; Streptophyta; Magnoliopsida; Poales; Poaceae.